Molecule: transfer RNA, 75 nt
Filed under: candidate division WWE3 bacterium CG08_land_8_20_14_0_20_43_13
Lineage: Bacteria; candidate division WWE3
Description: tRNA-Thr
Rfam family: tRNA
About the family: Transfer RNA (tRNA) molecules are approximately 80 nucleotides in length. Their secondary structure includes four short double-helical elements and three loops (D, anti-codon, and T loops).
Source: RNAcentral
GCCGAGAUAGCUCAGCGGUAGAGCAACUGUUUUGUAAACAGUAGGUCCAGGGUUCAAAUCCCUGUCUCGGCUCCA